UAGGGAAUCUUCGGCAAUGGGGGGAACCCUGACCGAGCAACGCCGCGUGAGUGAAGAAGGUUUUCGGAUCGUAAAGCUCUGUUGUUAAGGAAGAACGAGUGUGAGAAUGGAAAGUUCAUACUGUGACGGUACUUAACCAGAAAGGGACGGCUGACUACGUGCCAGCAGCCGCGGUAAUACGUAGGUCCCGAGCGUUGUCCGGAUUUAUUGGGCGUAAAGCGAGCGCAGGCGGUUAGAAAAGUCUGAAGUGAAAGGCAGUGGCUCAACCAUUGUAGGCUUUGGAAACUGUUUAACUUGAGUGCAGAAGGGGAGAGUGGAAUUCCAUGUGUAGCGGUGAAAUGCGUAGAUAUAUGGAGGAACACCGGUGGCGAAAGCGGCUCUCUGGUCUGUAACUGACGCUGAGGCUCGAAAGCGUGGGGAGCGAACAGG
Molecule: ribosomal RNA, 429 nt
Filed under: Bacteroidota bacterium
Lineage: Bacteria; Pseudomonadati; Bacteroidota
Description: Bacteroidetes bacterium partial 16S ribosomal RNA
Rfam family: Bacterial small subunit ribosomal RNA
Source: RNAcentral